RNAcentral lists this ribosomal RNA (373 nucleotides) under uncultured organism. RNAcentral describes it as "partial 16S ribosomal RNA". It matches the Rfam family "Bacterial small subunit ribosomal RNA", at positions 527 to 896 of the family's 1533-position model. The record is from RNAcentral.
GUAGGUGGCAAGCGUUGUCCGGAAUUAUUGGGCGUAAAGCGCGCGCAGGCGGUUCUUUAAGUCUGAUGUGAAAGCCCACGGCUCAACCGUGGAGGGUCAUUGGAAACUGGAGAACUUGAGUACAGAAGAGGAAAGCGGAAUUCCACGUGUAGCGGUGAAAUGCGUAGAGAUGUGGAGGAACACCAGUGGCGAAGGCGGCUUUCUGGUCUGUAACUGACGCUGAGGCGCGAAAGCGUGGGGGAGCAAACAGGAUUAGAUACCCUGGUAGUCCACGCCGUAAACGAUGAGUGCUAAGUGUUAGGGGGUUUCCGCCCCCUUAGUGCUGCAGCUAACGCAUUAAGCACUCCCGCCUGGGAGUACGGCCGCAAGGCUG